RNAcentral lists this ribosomal RNA (563 nucleotides) under Aspergillus flavipes. It matches the Rfam family "Bacterial small subunit ribosomal RNA", at positions 284 to 885 of the family's 1533-position model. The record is from RNAcentral. Lineage: Eukaryota; Fungi; Ascomycota; Eurotiomycetes; Eurotiales; Aspergillaceae.
UAGUCGUGACUGAGAGGUCGAUCGACCACAUUGGGUCUGAAAAAACCCCAAUGCGUAUUAGUACAGCAGUGAGGAAUAUUGGUCAAUGGCCGAAAGGCUGAACCAGUAACUUGGAAGAAUGAAAGUGUAUUAUUUACAAUACAAUAACGAUUAACUCGUAUAAAAUUCUAAAUAGGAUAAUGAUAAUGACAAUUUCCUAUUUAUAAGUCUUGACCAAAUUACGUGCCAGCAGUCGCGGUAAUACGUAGAAGACUAGUGUUAGUCAUCUUUAUUAGGUUUAAAGGGUACCUAGACGGUAAAUUAAACUCUAAACGAGUACUUUUUUACUAGAGUUUUAUGUGAGAAGGAAGAAUUUCUGGAGUAGGGAUGAAAUACUAUACCAGAAGGACUGGUAACGGCGAAGGCAUCCUUCUAUGUAAAAACUGACGUUGAGGGACGAAGGCUUGGGUAGCAAUAAGGAUUAGAUACCCUAGUAGUCCAAGCAGAAAAUGAUGAAUGUCAUAGACUAGAUAAUAUUUUUAGUCUAUAAAUGAAAGUGUAAGCAUUCCACCUCAAGAGUAAUA